Molecule: ribosomal RNA, 253 nt
Filed under: uncultured bacterium
Lineage: Bacteria
Description: partial 16S ribosomal RNA
Rfam family: Bacterial small subunit ribosomal RNA
Source: RNAcentral
UACGGAGGGUGCAAGCGUUAUCCGGAUUUACUGGGUUUAAAGGGUGCGUAGGUGGGUCUGUAAGUCAGUGGUGAAAUCUCCGAGCUUAACUCGGAAACUGCCAUUGAUACUAUCUGUCUUGAAUACCGUGGAGGUUAGCGGAAUAUGUCAUGUAGCGGUGAAAUGCUUAGAUAUGACGUAGAACACCAAUUGCGAAGGCAGCUGGCUACACGAAUAUUGACACUGAUGCACGAAAGCGUGGGGAUCAAACAGG